ACAGCAUCUAUAUAUGGUUGCGCAUCGUUCAUUGACGUGGUCAAUCCAACAAUACGUCACAUAACUCAAUUUCGACCCUCCACAUUAAUGAAUAUAGUACACACAUGGCAAAACUGCUAUCCUAUACGGAUGCAAUCGAUUAACAUUAUCAACGCGCCAACAUUUUUUGAUGUUAUUAUCAGGAUUAUGAAAUCUUUCAUGACGGCCAAAUUGAAAAACAGAUUUCACGUCUAUUCGCACAUGUCGCUGAGCUGUUUUAAGGAUGUCCCAACAGAUAUCUUGCCAAUCGAGUAUGGCGGCACUGAUGGUACAAUUCAGGAAUUAACUGAUUAUUGGAAGAAAUUGAUAGAAGAAAAUCGCGAUUGGAUUAUGAGUGAUGAGAAUAACAAAAUCGAAUGACAUUUUGGAGCAGUGGAUUUAAAAUCGGCAACAAAUAAUUGCUCUUAAAAUAUGCUUGGAUGUAUUUAUUAUAAUAUUUUAUUGUUAGUAAUGUAAGACGAAUUUUGUUUGUUUUGUAAGUUUUGCGAAAAAAAUUAUCUUUCUUUAUCUUUAUUUUAGGGUAAUUCUAUCAAUGACACAAUACUAGAUACUGAAUAAAAUAUAAAAUUGUUAGAAAAGAUAAUAGUGUAUCAUUAGUUUAUAUUAUUAAAUUACAUAAAGGCGAACCAAAAAUUUAUCUCUUUCUUUGUACUAACAGUAAAAGAAUCUGUUGUAAUUUAUUUCUUCUAUAUUUAUAUAUUUAUAUAUGUAUAUAUGUAUAUUUUUUAAUUAUCUAUUUUAUAUGCCUUGUCAAUAUAAUAUUAUGUGUAAAUAAUGAUAUACAUAACUAUAUUUGUCCAUAUGACA
Molecule: long non-coding RNA, 846 nt
Organism: Wasmannia auropunctata (little fire ant)
Lineage: Eukaryota; Metazoa; Arthropoda; Insecta; Hymenoptera; Formicidae
Exons: 2
Source: RefSeq, a predicted model, not a curated record